UUCUUUUUUGCCACCGCAAAAUGCCUGUGUGAUGUGUGGUAAUGCACCUUAUUAGGAUGCACAAGGGAGUGACUAUGCUCCUUCAUAUAUUUGGUCACAACCCACUUGUUUUGACCUUUUAACUCCACUCUAAGCAUUGCAUCACAGGAUUCACCGUACACUGUUCUCAAACCAUUACACAAGAAAUCAGUCUUCAAUCGAUUAAACUGAUAGACAUGGGUGGUAAGGCAUCACAGGAUUCACCGUACACUGUCCUCAAACCAUUACAUAAGAAAUCAGUCUUUUGUCGAUUAAACUGAUAGGCAUGGGUGGUAAAACCCAAACGCCUAGCGUAUUCAUCAUAGAAAUUCUUAGCCUGAUCUUCAGAAUGAAAUACCAUACCCGUUUGUGGCUCAACAACCUCAUC
Molecule: long non-coding RNA, 406 nt
Filed under: Nicotiana benthamiana
Lineage: Eukaryota; Viridiplantae; Streptophyta; Magnoliopsida; Solanales; Solanaceae
Description: long non-coding RNA (NBEN_LNC038003)
Source: RNAcentral